Long non-coding RNA from Fukomys damarensis (Damara mole-rat), 521 nucleotides. RefSeq lists it as uncharacterized. The record is from RefSeq and is a predicted model, not a curated record. The transcript is spliced from 5 exons. Lineage: Eukaryota; Metazoa; Chordata; Mammalia; Rodentia; Bathyergidae.
CUCUGGGCUUCCUGCCUGCCCUGCUGCGAGCAGUUCUCUGCCACGCCAUCCUGCACGGUGGCUGCAACCUCUACACAAUGCAAAAGGACGUGGAUCAUGACCCUCCAGAUGCCCGGGAAACCAGCUGUCGGAGGCCCGCUCUCAUCCUGCUCCAAGGCUGGCAGGUUGUUCUCCAACUGAUUAGCCCGGCCCCAGGCUCAGGGCACAACUCUUUCAUGGUCCACAUGGCUGUGUCUUCCUGAGGGAACAUGAGGCCGGUGAAAAGAAUGAGUGUGUACUUGCUGCAGGUUCUGGGUGCUCGAGCUGGUACCCGUCCUUUCUCUCCUCUACCUUCCAUUUGAAAUUCAUCUCACUCUCAGCUACCAUUUGGGCUUAUCUGGUGCUGUGACCCAAAACAUCUUCAGAGGAUCUGAACACAAGACAGAUGUACUCCUGUUUGGGCUCAUUCCUGAAGAUAGUGAGUGAAUAGGGGUCUAUCCACGUGAGGAUAAAGUGCUGGGCCUAUUAGGACAGAACAGGUG